GUGACCUCGGAUCAGGU
This 17-nucleotide ribosomal RNA is filed under the name Cladosporium cladosporioides. RNAcentral's name for it is "partial 28S ribosomal RNA". RNAcentral also lists the same sequence under 4 other names. Lineage: Eukaryota; Fungi; Ascomycota; Dothideomycetes; Cladosporiales; Cladosporiaceae. The record is from RNAcentral.